Molecule: ribosomal RNA, 454 nt
Filed under: uncultured bacterium
Lineage: Bacteria
Description: partial 16S ribosomal RNA
Rfam family: Bacterial small subunit ribosomal RNA
Source: RNAcentral
GAUGAACGCUGACAGAAUGCUUAACACAUGCAAGUCUACUUGAACUUCGGUUUGGGUGGCGGACGGGUGAGUAACGCGUAAAGAACUUGCCUCACAGUUAGGGACAACAUUUGGAAACGAAUGCUAAUACCUGAUAUUAUGAUUUUAGGGCAUCCUAGGAUUAUGAAAGCUAUAUGUGCUGUGAGAGAGCUUUGCGUCCCAUUAGCUAGUUGGAGAGGUAACGGCUCACCAAGGCGAUGAUGGGUAGCCGGCCUGAGAGGGUGAACGGCCACAAGGGGACUGAGACACGGCCCUUACUCCUACGGGAGGCAGCAGUGGGGAAUAUUGGACAAUGGGCCAAAAGUCUGAUCCAGCAAUUCUGUGUGCACGAUGACGUUUUUCGGAAUGUAAAGUGCUUUCAGUUGGGAAGAAAAAAAUGACGGUACCAACAGAAGAAGUGACGGCUAAAUACGUG